GGGAUCAACAAAUGAUAUCAGAGUUAGGCUGCAAGUUCUUCGUGACUUGAUUGGGAUUUUUUAAAGAUGGCUACAUUGAAAUAUGAUAUUUAGCUGUUGGAUCCCAAUACAAGAUUUUCUCUGUGGCAAGUAAAGAUGAGAGCUAUUCUGGCACAAUUGGAUUUGGUAUGCGCUGCUAGAUUUUGAGAAAAUACCAAUUAAUUGGACAACAGAGGAGAAACAACGGAGGGAUCGGAAGGCCUUAUUGCAUAUUCAUCUUCAUUUAUCCAAUAAUGUAUUCCCAUCGCAUAGCGAAAGGUGGGCCACUAGAAGACCACGUUGCUGUUGUGUUUGCUUUCUACCUCUUAUUCAUCAUUUCGAAGCACCAUCUUUUAUAGUUACGAUACUUUGACCAUUAAGGAUGUUUACAAUACUUUGUUCUCAAAGGAGAAGAUGAAGCAUUUGGUUGGUGCUACAUCGAGGGAUAAGGAAGCUCUAAUAGCUCAUGGUGAUCGAUGGAAGCGUAGUUCGAGGAUGAAUUUAAGCAAUUUGUACUAUUUCUACUACGGGAGGAAAUGACACAUUAAGAAAGAUUGCGAUAAGUUGCAAUCUAAAGAUAAUUUAGCUCGAAAUCAUAGGAAGCAAUCAUGCAAUUUGGGCGAGACUAAUGUUACCAUGGAAUCAGCCUAGGAGACGCAUCCUGUAACUCUGAUGAAAGCAUCCUGUAACUCUUGCCUAGAGGACACGUCUAGUAAUCCUAGUGGACGUCCGAUAUGGUAGGUUUGUCCAAUGGUCAACAAAUUGAACUUUCUAACUUCUGAACAAAAAACGGUUAGUUGAUUUUCCGAUAAGCUAGAGGACAUCCGGUAGUCUCGUCCAGUAAGACAGAAAAAUUUUGCUGCUAUAAAUACCAGAUCAUUUUGCAUGCAAAGAAAGACCUUUUGGAGCAUUAAAGUGAGAUAUUAUUGAUCUUAACUGCUCAAUC
Molecule: long non-coding RNA, 964 nt
Filed under: Olea europaea subsp. europaea
Lineage: Eukaryota; Viridiplantae; Streptophyta; Magnoliopsida; Lamiales; Oleaceae
Source: RNAcentral